AGCGGGGCCUUCGAUAGCUCAGUUGGUAG
RNAcentral lists this non-coding RNA (29 nucleotides) under Cricetulus griseus (Chinese hamster). The record is from RNAcentral. Lineage: Eukaryota; Metazoa; Chordata; Mammalia; Rodentia; Cricetidae.